This 862-nucleotide long non-coding RNA is filed under the name Olea europaea subsp. europaea. Lineage: Eukaryota; Viridiplantae; Streptophyta; Magnoliopsida; Lamiales; Oleaceae. The record is from RNAcentral.
AAAAAAUCUUUGGGGGAAGGGGGUAUUUAUAGUAGAAAAAGGAGGGGAGAAAAAAAUAAAAAUAAAAUUCAGUGACCAAACGGUCACUGAACAGAACGGUCACUGAAAAGUGACCAAAACGGUCACAAAAGUGACCGUUUUGGUCACUGGCUCGACGAGCCACGAGCCGCUCGACUCGUGGCUUGUCUAAACUCGGCUUGCCUCCCGGCGAGGCCCGCUCGGCUCGUGCUCGGGCUUGUGAUUUCACGAGCCCGAGCCGCCCACGAGCCUCUUUUCCACGAGCCGAGCCGGCUCGGCCCAAUUGACAUCCCUACAUAAUUUAGUACAUAAAUGUAUACGAUUAUAGCCCACUUCAAUCGUUGUCGACAUUUGAAUAUUCCUCCCACUGUCCUCAUUAGAAUCAUCCGAACGUAUGACAAUUAUUGGGAGAUGGAAUGUUUGCCAACGACUCAUCAUUGUUGGAUUCAUCUUCAAACGAAACUAUGAACUCAAACACAUCAUCAAGUACGCUGGGAGGUGACUACAAGGCCUCACUUGAAAUUUCAUUCAGGUUGGGAAAAUGAACAACAGAAAUGGCUUUCCUACCAUUUGGAAGGUUGACUUCCUCAUCAUUCGAAGAAAUUAUGAAGGAAAAAAUGGGGACAAAUCGGGUAUUAAGAGAGGCUCAUUCAGGUUCAACGGUUUGUGGAUUCUCGUGGACGACUAUUAUCUCAAUAUGGUUGUAUUAAGUGAAUUGUUUAAAAUGUUUGAUGUAUAAAGUGUCACAAAGUGGGAGAAGUGUUUAAAUGUAACUGAGAAGAAAGUCACGCCCUGCUAUUUAUAAUCAAAUUCUUGGAGGGAAUUAAUUAUGGUCAUUUACAAC